This 2572-nucleotide long non-coding RNA is filed under the name Sus scrofa (pig). RNAcentral describes it as "lncRNA (ENSSSCG00055014338.1)". Lineage: Eukaryota; Metazoa; Chordata; Mammalia; Artiodactyla; Suidae. The record is from RNAcentral.
GUCUUUUUAGGGCCGCACCCACGGCAUAUGGAGGUUCCCAGGCUAGGGGUCCAACUGAAGAUCCAGCUGCUGGUCUACACCACAGCCAAAGCAACAUGGGAUCCGAGCUGCGUCUGCGACCUACUCCCCAGCUCCCGGCAAUGCCAGCUUCUUUAACCCACUGAGCAUGGCCGGGGAUCAAACCUGCAACCUCAUGGUUCCUAGUCAGAUUCGUUUCUGCUGCGCCACAAUGGGAAAGCCGUCUUUCAUCCACCUUUAAUGAGGAAAACGGAACAGACUGUUCCCAGCAGGAUGGACACGUCUCAUCCGUGAAGCAGGUGGCGGAGAGAUGAGACAAGAACGUCCCAAUUCUGAGCAUGACACGAAACCGAUUCUGAUGGAACAUCGGGAUUCGGAGACCUGACUUAGAGGGUCAGAGGCCUCGUUUCUAGAACUGGGGGAUGCUCCUUUCCUGCCUCCCUGCAUCCGUCACUUAUGUAACUACCGUCUCGCGAGGCGCAGUGGUGCCAGUUCUCAGGACGACGGCUUCUGUCCUUGAGCUUGGCCAUCUCGAGAACCUUCCAGUUGAAAGUGCCCAUCAACAGGGCCUAUGAUUUCCGUGAACUCCAAAGCAAAUGUUAUCUCUCUCUUUUUCACACACGGACAAACAUGUUUGUAUGAGACGGAAAAAGAACACAGUCAGCUCACGUCGAACAGCUACGCAGUGACGCCAACGGAAGAGCUUGCGAUGGACGGCGUGGGCGCUCCUGGAUUAUUUCUCCGUUUGAGGUAUUUCUUCCCCUACUCUAGCCUACCUGGGGCUCCACUUUUCCCACAGAAGUUCCUUCUUCUACAGGGAGACUCUCCCUUCGGCCGGGAGAGCACGUUGAUAAAGGGAUAAAGGAAGGCAGACAGGGAUUCUGAGGACCUGCUUCCAGUCCCACCCCGAGGUCACAGUGUGAGACCCAGGGACCUGCCAUCCACGUGGUCUUUCCUCCUCCUGCCAGGAGAACCCCACGGAUUCUAACGCCAGCCGAAAUGACAGACCACCUUCGAGGGUCUCUGAAUACCUCAUUCUCACAAAGCUGGAUGCCCUAACGCUUCCACGUCCGUCGUAGAAACAAUGCGGGCAUCACAGCUAAUCUGAUGAGCACACACAGCUCCCGGGCAUCAGAAGGUCAUUAGAAACAGGAGGAUGUUUGAGCAACGUGGACGUAACUCUUUGGCGAUUACUGUGACACUGAGCGGGAGCUGGCUCCCUGAACGACGCCCCCUCGCUGGCACGCGUUUUCCUUUCACGGGCAGGAGUGUUCGGCUCUAAGUCGCCAGGCUGAUUCAUUCACGCCCCCGUUCACUCUUGUCCAUUUCCUGACUGUGGACCUGCAACUUGCACAUCAAGGCUCCAGCACUGGGGUCUGACAAGCACAGGCUUACUCCCCACCUGGAUAUUCGUGGGAUCUGGAUGCAAUUCCCACCGAAGACCUGCUCCCUCCCACGCUUUUAGUUAUUUAUUUUUUUAAACAGUUGGGCAGUUUUUUUAUACAAACAUACACCGACUCCGUGAACCAACAAUUCUUUUUUGUAUGUGCAAAACACUACAUUUUUUUUGUCCAACUUCUGAUUAGUUUUAUUUUUUGAAUGAUUUUUAGUCUUUCCAUUAUAGCUGGCUGACAGUGUUCUGUCCGUUUUCUACUGUACAGCAAAGGGACCCAGUCACACAUACACGUAUACAUUCUUUUUCUCACAUUAUCGUCCAUCCUGCUCCAUUGUAAGGGACUAGAUGCAGCAGGAUCUCAUUGCUCAUCCACUCCAAAGGCAAUACUUUGCAUCUAUGAACCCCAGAUUCCCGGGGCAUCCCACUCCCUCCCUGUCUUCCUUGGUUUUUUAGUUUUAUUCAAGUACAGGCGAUUUACAAGCUGUGGUAAUUUCUGCUCUACGACAGAGUGAUUCAGUUACACGGAGACACACGUCCAUUCUGUGUCGUAUUCCUUUCCCACACACAGCAUCACAGAACACUGGGCAAAGUUCCCUGUGCUACAUGGCAGGUCCCCGUUGGCCAGGCAUCCCAUACACCUCAGUGUGCAUGGCUUAAACCCUUGGUCCAUCCCACUUUCCCAGUGAGUAAGUCAAGGUUCUUGUAUAAGAUAUUAUAUAGGCCACGGGAGUUCCCAUCGUGGCUCAGUGGUUAGCGAAUCCGACUAGGAACCAAGAGGUUGCGGGUUCAAUCCCUGGCCUCGCUCAGUUGGUUAAGGAUCCGACGUUGCCAUGAGCUGUGGUAGGGACGCCCGUGUGAGGCGAGAACAGGUCAGGAGAACCCCGGAGGGAUCCCGGGAUCAGGGCUACCCAAGUCACGACGAGUCCAAUCACCUGGGGACAGCUCGGUUACCCGAGCAGGUCCACCGUCCCUACCGUGCAACCCAAUCGGCUGGGUUUUCUGUAACUUGCAACACGUGGUCUGCCUGGUCUGCUUACACCAACACACUGGGACCCGUCCUGUCAGCCACGCCGCCCUGCCCUGGAGCUCUGCCCUGGACAGCAGUCAGUAUGUGGGACACCCCUGAGCUAAAGGAUGUCCUGGGGCUGGGACAGGGUC